UACGAAGGGGGCUAGAGUUGCUCGGAAUCACUGGGCGUAAAGCGCACGUAGGCGGAUUGUUAAGUCAGGGGUGAAAUCCUGGAGCUCAACUCCAGAACUGCCUUUGAUACUGGCGAUCUUGAGUCCGGGAGAGGUGAGUGGAACUGCGAGUGUAGAGGUGAAAUUCGUAGAUAUUCGCAAGAACACCAGUGGCGAAGGCGGCUCACUGGCCCGGUACUGACGCUGAGGUGCGAAAGCGUGGGGAGCAAACAGG
Molecule: ribosomal RNA, 253 nt
Filed under: uncultured bacterium
Lineage: Bacteria
Description: partial 16S ribosomal RNA
Rfam family: Bacterial small subunit ribosomal RNA
Source: RNAcentral